AGUUUUGUGUAUUCAUGCUGAGAUUUCAUCAGAUAUCAAACAACCACGGCUGAUAAAACCGCCAAAAUAAAUUAAGUA
RNAcentral lists this microRNA precursor (78 nucleotides) under Schistosoma mansoni. RNAcentral describes it as "mir-3492 microRNA precursor family". It matches the Rfam family "mir-3492 microRNA precursor family". The record is from Rfam by way of RNAcentral. Lineage: Eukaryota; Metazoa; Platyhelminthes; Trematoda; Strigeidida; Schistosomatidae.